AUGGCAGUGGCAAUAUGGCACAUAUGGGAAAAUAGAAAUGCCUACCGUAAUGGCAAAGCUUUAAAUCAUCCUCUUCGUGUAGUGAGAAAGAUCAAAGCUUAUGUUGAAUUUAUCAAUAUGCAUUCUUUUAGUUCGACCACUUCCAUUAGACGUGAGACCUUGAAGUCAAACCAAAAAUGGUCUCCGCCGCCGGAUGGGUCGAUGCUCGUCAAUAUGGAUGCAACGACAUUCUCCUAAUCUGCAAGAGCGGGUUUUGGUGUGGUAAUACGUGAUCACCGGGGAAGGGUGCAGGCGGCGAAUAAAGGUUACUUUGAACGAAUUCAAAUUCCUGAAAUAGCAGAAGCCAUGGCACUUCGUCAAGUCUUAAUCCUUGCCAAUGACCUUGGCAUACGGAACAUCAUGGUAGUAUCUGAUUGCCUGUCAUUGAUCAACAAGGUCAAGGGUUUAGGUUUUGAUAGGUCCCCUAUUGGAGCCAUAGUCCAUGAUAUUAGAAAAUGUGCCACAAAGUUUGUAUCUUGUACUUUUAUUCAUGUCAAUCGUACUUGUAAUGAGGCAGCACAUGUUCUGGCCAAAUAGGCAGAGCAUGAUGUUUGGUCCUCCUGGAUUAAUGAGUUCUCUGAUGUAAUUAGGACCAUUAUCUGUAAUGAACUAAUUAUGAAUGAAUGAAAGGGUGUAGCUGCCCAUUACCUAAAAAAAAGGGUUAGCCGCGGCACAUCCUUGAUCGGCACAGUACACGUGCAUCAUGAUACUAGUACUCGAGAUGGCAUGCCGGUAGCGACAGUGAACGGACCAAGACGGGAACGCCGGCCUGGCUCACUGUCGACGUCCCUCGCGGCCUCAGGUAGUCAGGUUCCAGCUCCCGGACGGCGCUUUCCUUGUUGUCCAGCUGCCGCCGCAGCUUGUCCAACCACCGCGAGGAGGAGCUCCACCAGGAUGGCGAGCGCGAGCUGGUAUAGCGCGUACGUACAGGAGCAGCGCCCCCACGGCCCUGAAGCACGUCAGCGGGUAGGUUAG
Molecule: ribosomal RNA, 1014 nt
Filed under: Triticum aestivum (bread wheat)
Lineage: Eukaryota; Viridiplantae; Streptophyta; Magnoliopsida; Poales; Poaceae
Description: partial small subunit ribosomal RNA
Source: RNAcentral